CGUGAUCUCUGGUUUGCAUUUUCUUAUUGCUAUUUACAUUACUACAAACCUUCUUAUGUGCUUUAUUUCCUCAUUACCUUUGCUGCACACCUUUACAAACACGUGUUCAAGUUAAGCUUUUCAAGUUCGGUUUUUAUCGUAUGAAAGAUUUGUAGAAACCAACGUUUUAAUCCGCUGCACUAAUUCACCCCCCCCCCCUCUUAGUGCAG
Molecule: long non-coding RNA, 209 nt
Filed under: Musa acuminata (dwarf banana)
Lineage: Eukaryota; Viridiplantae; Streptophyta; Magnoliopsida; Zingiberales; Musaceae
Description: long non-coding RNA (MACU_LNC011407)
Source: RNAcentral